AUUCAGCUGAUGAGUCCCAGAUUGGACGAAAUGAGCGUUCUGGAU
Schistosoma rodhaini is the source of this 45-nucleotide non-coding RNA. NCBI's taxonomy places the organism in Eukaryota, Metazoa, Platyhelminthes, Trematoda, Strigeidida, Schistosomatidae. The record is from Rfam.